GAUGAACGCUGGCGGCGUGCCUAAUACAUGCCAGUCGAGCGAACAGACGAGGAGCUUGCCCCUCUGACGUUAGCGGCGGACGGGUGAGUAACACGUGGAUAACCUCCCUAUAAGACUGGGAUAACUUCGGGAAACCGGAGAUAAUACCGGAUAAUAUAUUGAACCGCAUGGUUCAAUAGUGAAAGACGGUUUUGCUGUCACUUAUAGAGGGAUCCGCGCCGCAUUAGCUAGUUGGUAAGGUAACGGCUUACCAAGGCAACGAUGCGUAGCCGACCGGAGAGGGUGGUCGGCCGCACUGGAACUGGGACACGGUCCAGACUCCUACGGGAGGCAGCAGUAGGGAAUCUUCCGCAAUGGGCGAGAGCCUGACGGAGCAACGCCGCGUGAGUGAUGAAGGUCUUCGGAUCGUAAAACUCUGUUAUUAGGGAAGAACAAAUGUGUAAGUAGCUAUGCACGUCUUGACGGUACCUGAUCAGAAAGCCACGGCUAACUACGUG
RNAcentral lists this ribosomal RNA (497 nucleotides) under uncultured bacterium. RNAcentral's name for it is "partial 16S ribosomal RNA". It matches the Rfam family "Bacterial small subunit ribosomal RNA", at positions 28 to 507 of the family's 1533-position model. The record is from RNAcentral.